UGGGGAAUAUUGCACAAUGGGCGCAAGCCUGAUGCAGCCAUGCCGCGUGUGUGAAGAAGGCCUUCGGGUUGUAAAGCACUUUCAGCGGGGAGGAAGGCGGUGAGGUUAAUAACCUCACCGAUUGACGUUACCCGCAGAAGAAGCACCGGCUAACUCCGUGCCAGCAGCCGCGGUAAUACGGAGGGUGCAAGCGUUAAUCGGAAUUACUGGGCGUAAAGCGCACGCAGGCGGUCUGUCAAGUCGGAUGUGAAAUCCCUGGGCUCAACCUGGGAACUGCAUUCGAAACUGGCAGGCUAGAGUCUUGUAGAGGGGGGUAGAAUUCCAGGUGUAGCGGUGAAAUGCGUAGAGAUCUGGAGGAAUACCGGUGGCGAAGGCGGCCCCCUGGACAAAGACUGACGCUCAGGUGCGAAAGCGUGGGGAGCAAACAGG
RNAcentral lists this ribosomal RNA (429 nucleotides) under Chloroflexota bacterium. RNAcentral describes it as "Chloroflexi bacterium partial 16S ribosomal RNA". It matches the Rfam family "Bacterial small subunit ribosomal RNA", at positions 355 to 776 of the family's 1533-position model. The record is from RNAcentral. Lineage: Bacteria; Bacillati; Chloroflexota.